Molecule: long non-coding RNA, 908 nt
Organism: Coccinella septempunctata (seven-spotted ladybird)
Lineage: Eukaryota; Metazoa; Arthropoda; Insecta; Coleoptera; Coccinellidae
Exons: 2
Source: RefSeq, a predicted model, not a curated record
CGAUCUCCACUUGCGCCUCCUUUCCUUUCUCCUUGGGAGGAGCGACUAGAAAGAGCAUUGAAAUCUAACGUUGCCAUGCCGUGCAAAAUGUAAAUUCACGAAUGACAUAUGUCAAAAGAUAUUGGCGCUGCAUUCGCCAUAAUCAGCUGUUUCCCAAACAAAAGAUUAGUGGUUUUUGUUUAUCAAAAUAAAACCAAUUCAUCAACUGAAAGCUCUUUCGUGAAUUCUUGGCUGUGUUUUAAGUAGUAUUAAUUAUUUUGAGGAGUAAAAGAUUAAGAAAGAAAGCAGUUACAAAGGAUACAAUAAACAUUGCGGGACUCUAUCAACAAACAUCGGCUCUGCAAGGACAACCCCAUCAAAUUGAGGGAACGUUAUCUAUAGUUGAUGAUGGGAAGAUUGGAAAGAUCAAAUAGACAUACAAAGCAGGUUUGUCUGGAAUGUGCAAACAUAUUUCAGCACUGCUCCUGUACUGUACGAGGUUGUAUUUACUACAAAACAAAGGAGGCAAAUUAUUGUGCCCUUGCAAUUUAACUGAUUCUGAAGUUAAAUUUAGUUUUCUCUAUGCUGUUUGUUUAUUUCUAUUUUAAGAUGGAUAUUAAGUCUAUCAAGAUUCUUUUAUUCACUGAUGUUGAAUAGUUCUGGAAAAAAUUAGGAAAAGAAGGCUGAAAGUAAAAAUAUUUCAAAAUUUUAUGGGAAAAACAUAUUUUGAUAAUUUUUUUUGUAAAAACUAUGAGUAUUCUAGUUUUAGGGAAUAUGCUGGGCAGCAGUACUACUUAAGUUGCAGAUACAAAAAAAUAACAAAAAUAUUUGAAAAAUUGUGGCUGUUGUAACUUAAAAUAUUAUGGAGGGUGUUCAUUUUCGAAGAAUUUCAUAAGUUAUUUUGUAAUGAAAUGAAAAAUUGAGCUGGA